Non-coding RNA from Chlorocebus sabaeus (green monkey), 2129 nucleotides. NCBI's taxonomy places the organism in Eukaryota, Metazoa, Chordata, Mammalia, Primates, Cercopithecidae. The record is from RefSeq and is a predicted model, not a curated record.
AGAAACAGAUAUCCACCCAUCCGCUGCUCCCAUGGGACAGCAUCCAGUACAGACAGUGCAGGUCAGAGCUGAUCGAAUCGCCAGCAAACCCAGUCCAUCAGCCACAGGUCAAGAAUCCCAAGAUACAUUUUGCACAGGUCAGCUCUUGCCCACAUGUUUCAAAUCAUCCCCAGUUCCCCAAUCUCCAUUGUCACCACCUGUUUUAAGCCACCACUCCCUCUUGCCUGGACCAAUGGGAUCCUAAGUGGGACACUGUGAGGAAAUUAUUUCUAUUUUUUACAUGUUAUCUUUAAAAAUGAUGUAUUUCUUAUAUCUGCAUGUGUGUGUGUGUGUGUGUGUGUGUGAUGUUGCUGCAGUAGCAUGCAAUUUACAAGUAACUAGCUAACCCUCCUUGAGGACUCUGUUGAAAAUGUUAUUACUAAAACAGUUUAGUGAAAUGGAGUCACAGCAUGACUAACUCGUUUCUAAGGUCAUAGGCUGGGACCCGAGUUGCCUCAUCUCUGAAACAGACAUCAGAGCACGGGCCACCCUCAGAGAUGUGUCAAGCAAGGGCACAGCCCUGGGCUUAAAGCACAGACUGUGCAGGACUGCUGCCUGAUGUUGAACCUCAGAUCUGCUGCUGACCAGCUGGGUGAAGGUGCACAGCUUACCGCCUUUCCCGUCCUUCCGUUUCCUCACACGAAAAUUGAGAUAAUAUUGGAAUAUACCUCAAAGGAGCCUCAGUGACUGAAUGGUACAGAAAAUGGGAUCUCACUUUGUAGUCCAGGGCGGUAUCAAACUCCUGCUUCAAGUGGUCCUCCCUCCCCAGCCUCCUAAAGUGCAGGGAUUGGAGGCGUGAGACACUGUGCCCAGCAUUUAAAGUGUCUGCUGCACAACCCUAGUGACCCCCAUCACCAUGAUUCCUGGAUGAUUGCCGCGUCCUCCUCCGUGGUCUCACUCUUGCCCCUCCCAAUAGUCCCUUUUAUGCACCUCAAUUUCACUCCAGAGUCUGGAAAUUUCCACCAUCUGAGAGUCUUUCUGCCCACUCCUCAGCUCAUCCAAUCCUACCUUCCUCAUCCAAUCGCGUUUCCAUGGUGACCGCCAGAGCCUGCUUCUGAGGUCUGUGCCAAGUGAGAGUUUCUGUGGGGGGACAGGUCAGAGUGAUGGACGUCAGAGUAGCUGAGCUGAGAAGCGAGGCAGGGAUCACAGGAAUCAUCCACCCACCACCCAUCAAUCUCUCUACCCAUCUAUCCAUUCACUCUUCCAUUCAGUUAUCCACCUUACUAUUCAUUCAUCUUCUCUACUAUCCGUCCUUUCAUCUACCAUCCUUCCAUCCAUUAGCCUCUCUAUUCAUCCAUCUGUGGUGGGCUGAAUGAUGUCCCCCAGUGAUAUGAACAUCUUCGUAUCCAGAGACAGUGAGUGUCACCUGAUGUGGCAAAAGGGAUUCCCUACAGUCUAGGCCACAGCAACUCAACUCUACCUUUACAGUGCAGGAAGGGUUCCACAACCGUCCUCCUGUCGGUGGUUCACUGUGACUUCUGUCCCAGCUUCGCCCUUGGAUACACUCAUUCAUUCAUUCAGAUGAUAUUUAUUUGCAGAUGUGUUCAGACCCCUUUGCCUCUCAACUGUUGUUUGAGUCACCACCUGUGACAUCCUCAUCUUUCAUCAUCCUAAAGAGAAGUUCUGUCUUUCUCCUGUGGAACCCUUAAUGGAUCCCUAAGGAUCUGAGAAUAAACAGCUCCUUCCUUAUCACAGUUUGCAAGCAGCAGGCGCCCACAGCGUGCCCAGUGGAGGAGCCCAGGGUGGCAGCUGUGUUGGAAGCAGGGGCCACACAAUUCAUCUUAAUGCCCCAGCCCCGAAGAACUAGCACACGUACCUUCACGUUACGGAAAAUAAAAAGCAAUGCAAAUUUCUGGAGUAACACAAGUGAAACAGUUUUCAAUGCUUUAUGCCAUUGCGUGGGAUUCUACCUGCAUUGUUCUAAAGAAUUUCAGUUUGAGGAACGUUUGUAGGGCACAGAGGAAGUGCCCCAGCUGACAGGCACUUAGGGCAAGACACUCACAAAGUUCCCAAGGUGGGUUCAGCCGGGCGCGGUGGCUCACGCCUGUAAUCCCAACACUUUGGGAGGCUGAGGUGGGUGGAUCACCUGA